This 21-nucleotide unclassified non-coding RNA is filed under the name Chlamydomonas reinhardtii. Its description in RNAcentral is "small RNA Cre_3946". Lineage: Eukaryota; Viridiplantae; Chlorophyta; Chlorophyceae; Chlamydomonadales; Chlamydomonadaceae. The record is from RNAcentral.
UUGCGCGGGACUACACUCUUG